UAAUACUCCAUAGAUUAGAGAAACUGGAAUGUUCUUUAAUCGAAAGUUCCGGCGCCAUAGGAUGGAUCUGCGGCCGAUUAGGUAGUUGUUGGGGUAACGGCCCAACAAGCCUGUAAUCGGUACGGGUUGUGGGAGCAAGAGCCCGGAGAUGGAAUCUGAGACACGAUUCCAGGCCCUACGGGGCGCAGCAGGCGCGAAAACUUUACAAUGCAGGAAACUGUGAUAAGGGAACCCCGAGUGCCCGUAUACGCGGGCUGUCCAGGUGUCUAAAACGCAUCUGAAGAAAGGGCCGGGCAAGACCGGUGCCAGCCGCCGCGGUAAUACCGGCGGCUCGAGUGGUGACCACUUUUAUUGGGCUUAAAGCGUUCGUAGCUGGACUCUUAAGUCUCUUGGGAAAUCCCGCGGCUUAACCGUGGGGCGUUUAAGAGAUACUGAGAGUCUAGGAACCGGGAGAGGUAAGAGGUACUUCGGGGGUAGAAGUGAAAUUCUGUAAUCCUCGAGGGACCACCGAUGGCGAAGGCAUCUUACCAGAACGGCUUCGACAGUGAGGAACGAAAGCUGGGGGAGCGAACGGGAUUAGAUACCCCGGUAGUCCCAGCCGUGAACGAUGCGCGUUAGGUGUAC
Molecule: ribosomal RNA, 624 nt
Filed under: uncultured archaeon
Lineage: Archaea
Description: bacterial SSU rRNA
Rfam family: Archaeal small subunit ribosomal RNA
Source: RNAcentral